This 374-nucleotide ribosomal RNA is filed under the name uncultured organism. Its description in RNAcentral is "partial 16S ribosomal RNA". It matches the Rfam family "Bacterial small subunit ribosomal RNA", at positions 527 to 896 of the family's 1533-position model. The record is from RNAcentral.
GUAGGUGGCAAGCGUUGUCCGGAAUUAUUGGGCGUAAAGCGCGCGCAGGUGGUUUCUUAAGUCUGAUGUGAAAGCCCACGGCUCAACCGUGGAGGGUCAUUGGAAACUGGGGAACUUGAGUGCAGAAGAGGAAAGUGGAAUUCCACGUGUAGCGGUGAAAUGCGUAGAGAUGUGGAGGAACACCAGUGGCGAAGGCGACUUUCUGGUCUGUAACUGACACUGAGGCGCGAAAGCGUGGGGAGCAAACAGGGAUUAGAUACCCUGGUAGUCCACGCCGUAAACGAUGAGUGCUAAGUGUUAGGGGGGUUUCCGCCCCCUUAGUGCUGCAGCUAACGCAUUAAGCACUCCGCCUGGGGAGUACGGCCGCAAGGCUG